Molecule: ribosomal RNA, 1659 nt
Filed under: Vibrio cholerae
Lineage: Bacteria; Pseudomonadati; Pseudomonadota; Gammaproteobacteria; Vibrionales; Vibrionaceae
Description: partial 23S ribosomal RNA
Rfam family: Bacterial large subunit ribosomal RNA
Source: RNAcentral
GUUGUAUGGUUAAGUGACUAAGCGUACACGGUGGAUGCCUGGGCAGUCAGAGGCGAUGAAGGACGUACUAACUUGCGAUAAGCGCAGAUAAGGCAGUAAGAGCCGUUUGAGUCUGCGAUUUCCGAAUGGGGAAACCCAACUGCAUAAGCAGUUACUGUUAACUGAAUACAUAGGUUAACAGAGCAAACCGGGGGAACUGAAACAUCUAAGUACCCCGAGGAGAAGAAAUCAACCGAGAUUCCGGUAGUAGCGGCGAGCGAACCUGGAUUAGCCCUUAAGCACUCGGUGAAGUAGGUGAACAAGCUGGAAAGCUUGGCGAUACAGGGUGAUAGCCCCGUAACCGACGCUUCAUCGAGCGUGAAAUCGAGUAGGGCGGGACACGUGAUAUCCUGUCUGAAUAUGGGGGGACCAUCCUCCAAGGCUAAAUACUCCUGACUGACCGAUAGUGAACCAGUACCGUGAGGGAAAGGCGAAAAGAACCCCUGUGAGGGGAGUGAAAUAGAACCUGAAACCGUGUACGUACAAGCAGUAGGAGCACCUUCGUGGUGUGACUGCGUACCUUUUGUAUAAUGGGUCAGCGACUUAUAUUCAGUGGCAAGGUUAACCGUAUAGGGGAGCCGUAGCGAAAGCGAGUCUUAACUGGGCGCUCAGUCUCUGGAUAUAGACCCGAAACCGGGUGAUCUAGCCAUGGGCAGGUUGAAGGUUGAGUAACAUCAACUGGAGGACCGAACCGACUAAUGUUGAAAAAUUAGCGGAUGACUUGUGGCUAGGGGUGAAAGGCCAAUCAAACUCGGAGAUAGCUGGUUCUCCCCGAAAGCUAUUUAGGUAGCGCCUCGGACGAAUACUACUGGGGGUAGAGCACUGUUAAGGCUAGGGGGUCAUCCCGACUUACCAACCCUUUGCAAACUCCGAAUACCAGUAAGUACUAUCCGGGAGACACACGGCGGGUGCUAACGUCCGUCGUGGAGAGGGAAACAACCCAGACCGCCAGCUAAGGUCCCAAAGUAUUGCUAAGUGGGAAACGAUGUGGGAAGGCUCAGACAGCUAGGAUGUUGGCUUAGAAGCAGCCAUCAUUUAAAGAAAGCGUAAUAGCUCACUAGUCGAGUCGGCCUGCGCGGAAGAUGUAACGGGGCUAAGCAAUACACCGAAGCUGCGGCAAUAUCUUUUAGAUAUUGGGUAGGGGAGCGUUCUGUAAGCCGUUGAAGGUGAAUCGUAAGGUUUGCUGGAGGUAUCAGAAGUGCGAAUGCUGACAUGAGUAACGACAAAGGGGGUGAAAAACCUCCUCGCCGGAAGACCAAGGGUUCCUGUCCAACGUUAAUCGGGGCAGGGUGAGUCGACCCCUAAGGUGAGGCCGAAAGGCGUAAUCGAUGGGAAACGGGUUAAUAUUCCCGUACUUCUGACUAUUGCGAUGGGGGGACGGAGAAGGCUAGGUGGGCCAGGCGACGGUUGUCCUGGUUCAAGUGCGUAGGCUUGAGAGUUAGGUAAAUCCGGCUCUCUCUAAGGCUGAGACACGACGUCGAGCUGCUACGGCAGUGAAGUCAUUGAUGCCAUGCUUCCAGGAAAAGCCUCUAAGCUUCAGAUAGUCAGGAAUCGUACCCCAAACCGACACAGGUGGUCGGGUAGAGAAUACCAAGGCGCUUGAGAGAACUCGGGUGAAGG